Molecule: ribosomal RNA, 810 nt
Filed under: Trichophyton violaceum
Lineage: Eukaryota; Fungi; Ascomycota; Eurotiomycetes; Onygenales; Arthrodermataceae
Description: eukaryotic LSU rRNA
Rfam family: Eukaryotic large subunit ribosomal RNA
Source: RNAcentral
AACGGCGAGUGAAGCGGCAAGAGCUCAAAUUUGAAAUCUGGCCUCCCCCGGGGGCUCGAGUUGUAAUUUGCAGAGGAUGCUUCGGGUGCGGCCGCCGUCUAAGUUCCUUGGAACAGGACGUCAGAGAGGGUGAGAAUCCCGUCUUGGGCGGGCGGUCCGCGCCCGUGUGAAGCUCCUUCGACGAGUCGAGUUGUUUGGGAAUGCAGCUCUAAGCGGGUGGUAAAUUUCAUCUAAAGCUAAAUAUUGGCCGGAGACCGAUAGCGCACAAGUAGAGUGAUCGAAAGGUUAAAAGCACCUUGAAAAGGGAGUUAAACAGCACGUGAAAUUGUUGAAAGGGAAGCGCUUGCGGCCAGACUCGGGGGCGGGGUUCAGCGGGUGCUCGUCGCCCGUGUAUUCCUCGUCUCCCGGGCCAGCAUCAGUUUCGACGGCCGGUCAAAGGCCCCCGGAAUGUGUCGUCUCUCGGGACGUCUUAUAGCCGGGGGUGCAAUGCGGCCCGUCGGGACUGAGGAACGCGCUCCGGCUCGGAUGCUGGCGUAAUGGCCGUAAGCGGCCCGUCUUGAAACACGGACCAAGGAGUCUAACAUCCACGCGAGUGUUCGGGUGUCAAACCCGUGCGCGCAGUGAAAGCGAACGGAGGUGGGAGCCUUAGGGCGCACCAUCGACCGAUCCUGAAGUCUUCGGAUGGAUUUGAGUAGGAGCGUGGCCGUUGGGACCCGAAAGAUGGUGAACUAUGCCUGAAUAGGGUGAAGCCAGAGGAAACUCUGGUGGAGGCUCGCAGCGGUUCUGACGUGCAAAUCGAUCGUCAAAUUU